UGACAGCAUGUUUACGCCAGGAUAAAACCAACACGACCAGUGAAGCAAGGAUCAUGACAUCACAUAUUUACCUAGGAUAUAAAACAAAUACAGAAGAGGCAGCUAGAAACGAAAACAAGAAACCUUGACCCGGUACAAAGAAGCAGCAACCUCCAAGAUAUACGCCCUGCAAAACAAAAUAGAAGAACUCAUUAGGACAAGGACCAUGAUAACUGCUCAGAUGCUCUGCAGUUAGCAUAUUAGUCUAUUAGAAAGCCAUCUAUCAUGCACUGAGCAGUCUAGUUAAUGGUCAGAAUAUGAGCUUGGUUUCUUAUGAGACAUUAAGUCCAUAUUUGUAGAUGCCUGACAGAGUGGCCUCCUUAAUCCAUAGGAUGAGCAUUUUAGGAUUAUUUGGAAACCACCUUCACAAAGUUCACCCAAGGAUCUUUAGGUUCGGGGUGUUAACUAAUUUUACAUUUUUUACAGAACUUUGUGCCAAAAAGGACCAUUAAAACUGGACAGGACGAGUGAUAUUGGAUUCAAGCAACCUCACAAAAUCCACCUUUCACAAAAUACUGGACCAACGAGUGGUUUGUAAUUUUAACCAAUAGAUUGAGUGAGUUAACUACUUAUAUAGCCUUUCUGACAAAACCAUGUGCAGAAAGCGACCAUUAAUACUGACCAGACACGAGUGAUAUUGGAUUCAAGCAAAACACAUAUCUGUAACUAUAAGAAAUGCCACUCACCUUAACUUCAAAGGCAGCACCGACAAGAAAAGCAUGCAAGAUCAACAAGAGCACCAAUUCCCAGCAGCAGCAAGAAUAAACCGACCAGUUUCUAGCAGCAGCAAGAUGAACCGAAAGAAAAGGUGCUCAUUAUGAGAUAGGCAUUUCAUCGAAUAAUAGGAAAAUAUGGGAAAGGCACCUCACCUCAAGGAUGAAGGCAAUAACUUCCUAAGAAUGGGAAUGCAGAACACACGGGCAACAAAAUAAACCUGCAGAUGAAGAACACAAAGUUAGCAAUGUGAAGUAAGAAGAUGGUGAUGAAAAUAACAGCCAGGUCGGACGAGAGCA
This 1052-nucleotide long non-coding RNA is filed under the name Triticum aestivum (bread wheat). RNAcentral describes it as "long non-coding RNA (TAES_LNC016249)". The record is from RNAcentral. Lineage: Eukaryota; Viridiplantae; Streptophyta; Magnoliopsida; Poales; Poaceae.